This 785-nucleotide ribosomal RNA is filed under the name uncultured Neocallimastigales. Its description in RNAcentral is "partial large subunit ribosomal RNA". It matches the Rfam family "Eukaryotic large subunit ribosomal RNA", at positions 22 to 634 of the family's 3401-position model. The record is from RNAcentral. Lineage: Eukaryota; Fungi; Neocallimastigomycota; Neocallimastigomycetes; Neocallimastigales.
AUAUCAGUCAUGCAUAGCAUAUCAAUAAGCGGAGGAAAAGAAACUAACAAGGAUUCCCCUAGUAACUGCGAGUGAAGCGGGAAGAGCUCAAAUUUGAAAUCUUAAAAGGUUUUCCUUUUACGAAUUGUAGUUUAAAGAAGUGUUUUCUGUUGAAAGUUUUAGUAAAAGUUCCUUGGAAUAGGACAUCAUAGAGGGUGAGAAUCCCGUAUUUGACUAGAAUUUUUAACUUUGUGAUACACUUUCAAAGAGUCGGAUUGUUUGGGAAUGCAGUCCAAAAUGGGUGGUAAAUUUCAUCUAAAGCUAAAUAUUGGCGAGAGACCGAUAGCGAACAAGUACCGUGAGGGAAAGAUGAAAAGAACUUUGAAAAGAGAGUUAAAUAGUACGUGAAAUUGUCAAAAGGGAAGCGCUUGGCACCAGUGUUGUUUUUCUAAAAAUCAAUUUAAAAUUUACUUAUGUUAAGUAUUUUUAGACUUUAAUCAGGCUAUAUAAUUUAGUUUUUUGUAAUUUUUGAAUGCACUUUUUAGUUAACAAGUCAACAUCAAUUUCUUUUGUUGUAAAAGAAUAAGAGGAAGGUGGCUUGGAAUUUAGUUUCAAGUGUUUAUAGCCUUUUAUUUAUGCAAUAGGAGGGAUUGAGGUCUGCAGCAUAGAUCCUUCGGGGGCUAGAUGCAUUUUUGCUAAGAGUCCAGUAUUAUAUAAACAACUUGUUGAUUAUAGUAGUAUGUUGAUUUCUACUCGCAGAGUGUUAUUUUACCUACGCUUAGGAUGUUGACGCAUGAGAUAUACGC